RNAcentral lists this ribosomal RNA (449 nucleotides) under uncultured bacterium. RNAcentral describes it as "partial 16S ribosomal RNA". It matches the Rfam family "Bacterial small subunit ribosomal RNA", at positions 29 to 523 of the family's 1533-position model. The record is from RNAcentral.
AACGAACGCUGGCGGCAUGCCUAACACAUGCAAGUCGAACGAAGUCUUCGGACUUAGUGGCGCACGGGUGCGUAACGCGUGGGAAUCUGCCCUUGGGUACGGAAUAACUCAGAGAAAUUUGUGCUAAUACCGUAUGAUGACGUAAGUCCAAAGAUUUAUCGCCCAGGGAUGAGCCCGCGUAGGAUUAGCUAGUUGGUGAGGUAAAGGCUCACCAAGGCGACGAUCCUUAGCUGGUCUGAGAGGAUGAUCAGCCACACUGGGACUGAGACACGGCCCAGACUCCUACGGGAGGCAGCAGUGGGGAAUAUUGGACAAUGGGCGAAAGCCUGAUCCAGCAAUGCCGCGUGAGUGAUGAAGGCCCUAGGGUUGUAAAGCUCUUUUACCGGGGAAGAUAAUGACUGUACCGGGAGAAUAAGCCCCGGCUAACUCCGUGCCAGCAGCCGCGGUAA